This is a non-coding RNA of Cetobacterium somerae ATCC BAA-474, 186 nucleotides long. NCBI's taxonomy places the organism in Bacteria, Fusobacteriati, Fusobacteriota, Fusobacteriia, Fusobacteriales, Fusobacteriaceae. The record is from Rfam.
GAGUAUAUUCAUAUUAAUGUUAAAUAAUAUAACAGGACACUUAGAUAAGGAAAUGAGGUUUGAUUCCUCUACGGCCCCGCCACUGUAAUUUGGACGAAAGUAUUUUAUACCACUGGAUUUAUUUCUGGGAAGGUUUACGAGUAGAAUGAAAAGAGUCAGGAUAUUUAUCUCUAGUGAAUUAUCUUC